UCAGCCUCUUGGCAUUGAACACGCUCGUAGUGGCCUUCAGAUGUGCAUCGCGGCACGAACCGACCCAACGAGAACCUGUUUCGCUCAGACAGCUGGUAUUCGCGUUGACAAUCCGUCACUCUGUCUCCUGAUCUGGUACCGUCCAGUUCCGAGCCCUGAGCGUCAACACACCAACAUUCCCCUGUACUCUCUUGACACUGGACGUCUUCAUAAGCGCCAUCUAGGGUGCAACGGGGGACAAACCUGUCCAGCGAGGCUGGGGUCUUGAGCGCUUGCUCGACUUGGGCUCGACAGGGUGUCACGGGCACUAAAUAGGGAGAAGGAGAUAUAAUAAGGCGAGUGGGCUUAGAGAAAGGGAAUAACAGCGCAACAACAACAUCCAGAACAAAUGGGGUAAUAAUAAAACCAUGUAAGAGUAAUAAUAAUUACCUGGAGUAGGUAGUUGAGGUGGGAGGGAUGGAGGAACUCCUAGAAAAAGGCGAACACUAUUAGGUCACUAUCAGCCAAAUGCGAUUCCAAGCUAGUAUCUAUAACCGUUUGUUCCAUUGCGUUACCUGGAUCACAGUUGGGUUGUCCAGUUUGCCUUGUGCCGGGUCUUUCCUUGCCGUCCUCGUCCACGCACCAGCAGUACCGAGUGCCGUCAUGACACUGGACGGUCUCGUAGCUGCCGUCGUCCGCACACCUAGGCACGUAGGCGCCGACCGGAGCUUGCCCUGUCAUGCCUUGCACGCGGUGACGGUGCUUCUGGCACGCGGAGAACUCUUCUGCAAACAGACAGGAUACGUGUAUCAAGCAAUCAAGUAUCAAGCAAUCCCUGUUAGAAAGCCAUGACUUGGUAGCCAGAAAGAAACAGAGAGCAUGGGAAACCUGAGACAAUCUGAAGAAGAAGGGGCGAUGCGGAUUUGGGAUUUUGCUUAAAGCAGAAACAGUCCGUCUUGUAGCACUGGCGAGGGUCAUACGAGCCGUCCUUGCGGCACCAUGGGACGUGACGCGUGGCCAGGAACCAGUUCCUAGUCUUUUCCUGGUAGUGUCUCUGGCAGUGAGUAAGGUUGGCUCCUGUACACCAGAACAACAAACUCUUAGGACAAUCCUGGAAAAGGCGGAACCUAGGCUAGAGGUAUGUUUGCUACGGACAUUAUAACACGACUAGUAUUCCUACAUUUGUGUUGUAACGCGAUAUCUGUUCAAACCCUUUGAAAUGACAUUCAUGGACAAUAACAAUUUUUUUGCAAUGGGUAACAAACUCUUAGGACAAUCCUGGAAAAGGCGGAACCUAGGCUAGGGGUAUGUUUGCUACGGACAUAAAGAAUUAUAACACGACUAGUAUUCCUACAUUUGUGUUGUAACGCGAUAUCUGUUCAAACCCUUUGAAAUAAUUUUCAUGGACAAUAACAAUUUCUUUGCAACGGGUAUCAGAUAAGUUCACGUUUUGCAAGCAUCUGAUAGGUCCGUUUGUCCGUCUUCGGUACUUAAUAACGGGUAUCUGAUAGGCUCAAUUAUCUACCGUAUUGUGUGUAUUUUGGUAAUUCCAUCUAUCGAACGUAUAACGAGUAUCUGAUAUGAUCGACUGUUUACCAUAUAGCGGGUAUCUGAAUAUUUACCGUAUUGUGAGCAUCUGAUAGGUCCGUUUGUCCGUGUGCCGGGGAUCUCGUUUCCCUUAGCAUCUGCGCACCAGCACUGAUGUGUUGCCGCCUCGCACUGGAUCUCCUCGUAGGCUCCGGAUGACUUGCACUUGGCGGCAAAUACCUGGUUCCCAUUAGACCCAACCCUCUCCUGGUGUUCUCUUUGGCAGAUACGGAUCACAGGAAAACACACACAGCAAGGUUGCGAUCUUCUAAUAAUGUGUAUUUCCUGGAAUCUAGUGUACUGGAUGCCGCUAAGAGCAUUGAAGGCAAAUCCCAUAGCAGGCGAAGAUGCAAAGGAAAUUAAUCCAACGUGGUCACCAUCAUGAGAAAUGUGGAAUUUGUCUAGAAACUCUUUCGUGAAUUGUAGUGUUCUGGGCC
Long non-coding RNA from Nematostella vectensis (starlet sea anemone), 2003 nucleotides. RefSeq lists it as uncharacterized. The record is from RefSeq and is a predicted model, not a curated record. Lineage: Eukaryota; Metazoa; Cnidaria; Anthozoa; Actiniaria; Edwardsiidae. The transcript is spliced from 5 exons.